RNAcentral lists this ribosomal RNA (253 nucleotides) under uncultured bacterium. RNAcentral's name for it is "partial 16S ribosomal RNA". It matches the Rfam family "Bacterial small subunit ribosomal RNA", at positions 524 to 776 of the family's 1533-position model. The record is from RNAcentral.
UACAGAGGUCUCAAGCGUUGUUCGGAUUCAUUGGGCGUAAAGCGUGUGUAGGUGGCGCGCUAAGUCGGGUGUGAAAUUUCGGAGCUUAACUCCGAAACUGCAUUCGAUACUGGCGUGCUUGAGGACUGGAGAGGAGACUGGAAUUCAUGGUGUAGCAGUGAAAUGCGUAGAGAUCAUGAGGAAGACCAGUGGCGAAGGCGGGUCUCUGGACAGUUCCUGACGCUGAGGCACGAAGGCCAGGGGAGCAAACGGG